Molecule: ribosomal RNA, 1250 nt
Filed under: uncultured Acinetobacter sp.
Lineage: Bacteria; Pseudomonadati; Pseudomonadota; Gammaproteobacteria; Moraxellales; Moraxellaceae
Description: bacterial SSU rRNA
Rfam family: Bacterial small subunit ribosomal RNA
Source: RNAcentral
GCUUGCUACCUGACCUAGCGGCGGACGGGUGAGUAAUGCUUAGGAAUCUGCCUAUUAGUGGGGGACAACAUUCCGAAAGGAAUGCUAAUACCGCAUACGCCCUACGGGGGAAAGCAGGGGAUCUUCGGACCUUGCGCUAAUAGAUGAGCCUAAGUCAGAUUAGCUAGUUGGUGGGGUAAAGGCCUACCAAGGCGACGAUCUGUAGCGGGUCUGAGAGGAUGAUCCGCCACACUGGGACUGAGACACGGCCCAGACUCCUACGGGAGGCAGCAGUGGGGAAUAUUGGACAAUGGGCGAAAGCCUGAUCCAGCCAUGCCGCGUGUGUGAAGAAGGCCCUUUGGUUGUAAAGCACUUUAAGCGAGGAGGAGGCUACUUGGAUUAAUACUCUAGGAUAGUGGACGUUACUCGCAGAAUAAGCACCGGCUAACUCUGUGCCAGCAGCCGCGGUAAUACAGAGGGUGCGAGCGUUAAUCGGAUUUACUGGGCGUAAAGCGUGCGUAGGCGGCUUUUUAAGUCGGAUGUGAAAUCCCUGAGCUUAACUUAGGAAUUGCAUUCGAUACUGGGAAGCUAGAGUAUGGGAGAGGAUGGUAGAAUUCCAGGUGUAGCGGUGAAAUGCGUAGAGAUCUGGAGGAAUACCGAUGGCGAAGGCAGCCAUCUGGCCUAAUACUGACGCUGAGGUACGAAAGCAUGGGGAGCAAACAGGAUUAGAUACCCUGGUAGUCCAUGCCGUAAACGAUGUCUACUAGCCGUUGGGGCCUUUGAGGCUUUAGUGGCGCAGCUAACGCGAUAAGUAGACCGCCUGGGGAGUACGGUCGCAAGACUAAAACUCAAAUGAAUUGACGGGGGCCCGCACAAGCGGUGGAGCAUGUGGUUUAAUUCGAUGCAACGCGAAGAACCUUACCUGGUCUUGACAUAGUAAGAACUUUCCAGAGAUGGAUUGGUGCCUUCGGGAACUUACAUACAGGUGCUGCAUGGCUGUCGUCAGCUCGUGUCGUGAGAUGUUGGGUUAAGUCCCGCAACGAGCGCAACCCUUUUCCUUAUUUGCCAGCGGGUUAAGCCGGGAACUUUAAGGAUACUGCCAGUGACAAACUGGAGGAAGGCGGGGACGACGUCAAGUCAUCAUGGCCCUUACGACCAGGGCUACACACGUGCUACAAUGGUCGGUACAAAGGGUUGCUACCUAGCGAUAGGAUGCUAAUCUCAAAAAGCCGAUCGUAGUCCGGAUUGGAGUCUGCAACUCGACUCCAUGA